AUGUUGCGAGCAGCCGCCCGCCUACUCAUUCCCCGACGGCUGUUGUCUCCGGCAGCCGCCACGGCAACACCUACUGUGUGGAACCUCCGCCAUUUCUCACUCUCGACGCCGCAGCCGCGCCCGGCGGAGGCGGAGAUCUUCACGCCGGCGGAAGCUCAGCGAAUGGUGCGGCUUGUUGGACUCGAGGUGCUCAAGAGGCGUCUGCGGAACAGGGAGGAUGAGGUGGUAACAUAUCAGGAGUUCCUGGACGCGUGCGUUGAGGCCGGAGCGGCGCCGACUCACAGCCGGGCGGAGGCGCUCGCGGGAGCGAUGGACCACUCGGGCACCAUUGUGCUCUUCCGGGGAAAGGUCUACCUCCAUCCUGAGAAGAUAGUAGACCUGGUUAGAAGCGCCGUGCCGCCUGUGCUCGAGAUAGAGAACGAUACGAGAAGGGAAGAGUUUGAGCUAUUGAAGAAAAAGAAAGGAGAGAUCGACCAGCAGGCGUGCAAGCAAGUGAGGCGAAUCCUCUGGUCUGGCUUCUGGUUCGUGCAAGCCACGGUCGGCCUCUGCUUCCGCUUCACAUUCUGGGAGUUCACGUGGGACGUUGUAGCGCCAAUCACCUUCUUCGUGGCCGGCGCCCACCUGCUUUCCGGCUACGCCUAUUUCCUCAUCACCUCGCGCAAGCUGUCGUAUCGGACCUACAUGGAGAGGCUGUUUAAAAUAAGGAGGAGAGAGCUUUGCACGAAGCAUGAUUUUGACAUGGAAAGGUACCUGGAAAUGGAGAGGCACAUGAGGUGUCCUCUGGGAGGUGAUUAUUCUCAAGCUGCUACAAAAGCGAUCUUCGGAGAAAUCGAGCGACGGAUGCAGGACGAGGUGAUCAGCCAUGGCGAGCCCCUCGGUGCGUUGAUGGAGAGCGGCCUCAUGCCCAUGGAGGCGGAGGCACUCGUGCAGAAGAUGGACGAGAUGAGCUUGGUGCUGCUCGUCAGGGGAAAGACCUACCUCAACCACAAGAAGAUUGUGCACCUGAUCAGAAGGGCCGUGCCAUUUGCGCUCGCCGCGGAGGACGACGUGAGAAAAGACGAAUUCAGACAACUCCAGAUGAAGAUGCAAGAGAUCGACGGCAUGGCGCACAGCCACGCCGUGCGGAUUCUAUGUUUUGGCUUCGCGUCAUUCAUACUCCAGUUUGCCCUCUUCUUCCACCUUACGUUCUGGGAGUUCUCUUGGAGUAUCAUGGAGCCGCUCGCCUACUUCUUGGCCGGACUCCAGCUGAUUUUCUGCUACGGCUAUUUCCUGCGUACCGCAAGUAAUCCGACGUUGCAGGACUUCAAGCGUAGGCUGUUCUUGGCAAGGAGGAGAAAGCUAUGUGCAAAGCUUAGUUUUGAUAUGGACAGAUACCUGAAUUUGCAGAAACAUUCUAGGGUUCCUCCUGAAGGUGAUUACUGA
This 1422-nucleotide ribosomal RNA is filed under the name Triticum aestivum (bread wheat). RNAcentral's name for it is "partial small subunit ribosomal RNA". The record is from RNAcentral. Lineage: Eukaryota; Viridiplantae; Streptophyta; Magnoliopsida; Poales; Poaceae.